GACCUCAAAUCAGGUAGGAUUACCCGCUGAACUUAAGC
This 38-nucleotide ribosomal RNA is filed under the name Fomitopsis cf. meliae 8IV7/1. RNAcentral's name for it is "partial 28S ribosomal RNA". The record is from RNAcentral. Lineage: Eukaryota; Fungi; Basidiomycota; Agaricomycetes; Polyporales; Fomitopsidaceae.